Arcobacter nitrofigilis DSM 7299 is the source of this 72-nucleotide transfer RNA. It matches the Rfam family "tRNA". Rfam says of the family: Transfer RNA (tRNA) molecules are approximately 80 nucleotides in length. Their secondary structure includes four short double-helical elements and three loops (D, anti-codon, and T loops). The record is from Rfam. NCBI's taxonomy places the organism in Bacteria, Pseudomonadati, Campylobacterota, Epsilonproteobacteria, Campylobacterales, Arcobacteraceae.
GGCCCCUUCAUCUAGCGGUUAGGAUCUUGGAUUUUCAUUCCAAUCACAGGAGUUCGAGUCUCCUAGGGGUCA